Molecule: non-coding RNA, 657 nt
Organism: Pelobates cultripes (western spadefoot toad)
Lineage: Eukaryota; Metazoa; Chordata; Amphibia; Anura; Pelobatidae
Source: the annotation of a GenBank genome assembly
CCAGUCUCUGGUACCUGCUGCUGUGCAGAGUCAAACAAUUGCUUGUAAUCCAGUUCAAGCUCCCACUCCAUGGUGGCUCAAAUCAGGUUCCAGGUCAGUUGCUUCUGAGAGAGCCAGUAGGUGUUCCCUAUUUUCCCUAAUGUCAUAAAGCCGGGACCUCUCAGGACUUCCCAAUUCAAUUUUGUCCUCAAAGGCCUCCCACAAUAGGCCAGGGCCAUCAUAGUCCUCACCAUCUGGAGGGUCAUCAUCUGCUAGAAAUGGGUACUGCUGUACUGCAUACCACCUUAAGGCCCAGUAAGAAUCAUCCAGCCACAAUUCUUUCUGUACUAGCUCCUCUAAUUUAAACACCCAUUCCACCAGGGGCUGCUCUCCCAAGAAUUGCAUCCACAAAUCGACUUGAUCCCAAAAUUGUUGCAUAAUGGUUGUGAGGGAUUCUCCCCGGAGACAACAAACCUCCUCAAGAACAUUGUUUCAGAGAUCCCAACAGAUCGAGUCCCACCGGUCCAGUUCACCCUUUGUUAAGAAAUGGCCAUCGUACUGGGACAGAGCUGCUUGUAACUCCUCCUCAGAUGGGGAUGCUGCACGAGUGCUAGCUCUAUCCAUUUCCAUGAAUUCCAGAAAGCACAGUGGGAUCCCAGUAGAGGAGCUUAAGGCCUU